CCUACGGGAGGCAGCAGUCGAGAAUCAUUCACAAUGGGGGAAACCCUGAUGGUGCGACGCCGCGUGGGGGAAUGAAGGUCUUCGGAUUGUAAACCCCUGUCAUGUGGGAGCAAAUUAAAAAGAUAGUACCACAAGAGGAAGAGACGGCUAACUCUGUGCCAGCAGCCGCGGUAAUACAGAGGUCUCAAGCGUUGUUCGGAAUCACUGGGCGUAAAGCGUGCGUAGGCUGUUUCGUAAGUCGUGUGUGAAAGGCGGGGGCUCAACCGGAGGACGGCACAUGAUACUGGGAGACUAGAGUAAAGGAGGGGGAACCGGAAUUCGCGGUGUAGCAGUGAAAUGCGUAGAUAGCGAGAGGAACACUCGUGGCGAAGGCAGGUUCCUGGACAUUAACUGACGCUGAGGCACGAAGGCCAGGGGAGCGAAAGGGAUUAGAUACCCCUGUAGUC
This 446-nucleotide ribosomal RNA is filed under the name uncultured bacterium. Its description in RNAcentral is "partial 16S ribosomal RNA". It matches the Rfam family "Bacterial small subunit ribosomal RNA", at positions 338 to 795 of the family's 1533-position model. The record is from RNAcentral.